RNAcentral lists this small nuclear RNA (70 nucleotides) under Macaca mulatta (Rhesus monkey). The record is from RNAcentral. Lineage: Eukaryota; Metazoa; Chordata; Mammalia; Primates; Cercopithecidae.
GUGCUCGCUUGGCAGCACACAUACUAAAAUUGGAAGGGUACAGAGAUUAGCAUGGCCCCUGUGCAAGGAU